Molecule: ribosomal RNA, 450 nt
Filed under: uncultured bacterium
Lineage: Bacteria
Description: partial 16S ribosomal RNA
Rfam family: Bacterial small subunit ribosomal RNA
Source: RNAcentral
GUGGGGAAUAUUGGACAAUGGGCGAAAGCCUGAUCCAGCCAUGCCGCGUGUGUGAAGAAGGUCUUCGGAUUGUAAAGCACUUUAAGUUGGGAGGAAGGGCAGUAAGUUAAUACCUUGCUGUUUUGACGUUACCGACAGAAUAAGCACCGGCUAACUUCGUGCCAGCAGCCGCGGUAAUACGAAGGGUGCAAGCGUUAAUCGGAAUUACUGGGCGUAAAGCGCGCGUAGGUGGUUUUGUAAGUUGGAGGUGAAAUCCCCGGGCUCAACCUGGGAACUGCCUCCAAAACUGCAUGACUAGAGUACGGUAGAGGGUAGUGGAAUUUCCUGUAUAGCGGUGAAAUGCGUAGAUAUAGGAAGGAACACCAGUGGCGAAGGCGACUACCUGGACUGAUACUGACACUGAGGUGCGAAAGCGUGGGGAGCAAACAGGAUUAGAAACCCGGGUAGUCC